RNAcentral lists this ribosomal RNA (788 nucleotides) under uncultured bacterium. RNAcentral describes it as "bacterial SSU rRNA". It matches the Rfam family "Bacterial small subunit ribosomal RNA", at positions 93 to 913 of the family's 1533-position model. The record is from RNAcentral.
UAGUGGCGGACGGGUGAGUAACACGUGAGAAUCUGGCUCUAGGUCUGGGACAACAGUUAGAAAUGACUGCUAAUACCGGAUGUGCCGGAAGGUGAAAGAUUUAUUGCCUGGAGAUGAGCUCGCGUCUGAUUAGCUAGUUGGUGGGGUAAAGGCUUACCAAGGCGACGAUCAGUAGCUGGUCUGAGAGGAUGAUCAGCCACACUGGGACUGAGACACGGCCCAGACUCCUACGGGAGGCAGCAGUGGGGAAUUUUCCGCAAUGGGCGAAAGCCUGACGGAGCAAUACCGCGUGAGGGAGGAAGGCUCUUGGGUUGUAAACCUCUUUUCUCAAGGAAGAACACAAUGACGGUACUUGAGGAAUAAGCAUCGGCUAACUCCGUGCCAGCAGCCGCGGUAAUACGGAGGAUGCAAGCGUUAUCCGGAAUGAUUGGGCGUAAAGCGUCCGCAGGUGGUAUUGUAAGUCUGCUGUUAAAGCGUGAGGCUCAACCUCAUAAUGGCGGUGGAAACUACAAAACUAGAGUACGUUCGGGGCAGAGGGAAUUCCUGGUGUAGCGGUGAAAUGCGUAGAUAUCAGGAAGAACACCGGUGGCGAAAGCGCUCUGCUAGGCCGUAACUGACACUGAGGGACGAAAGCUAGGGGAGCGAAUGGGAUUAGAUACCCCAGUAGUCCUAGCCGUAAACGAUGGAUACUAGGCGUUGCUUGUAUCGACCCGAGCAGUGCCGUAGCUAACGCGUUAAGUAUCCCGCCUGGGGAGUACGCACGCAAGUGUGAAACUCAAAGGAAUUGA